GUCUACAGCCAUGCCACCCUGAACAAGCCCGAUCUCGUCUGAUCUCGGAAGCUAAGCAGGGUUGGGCCUGGUUAGUACGUGGAUGGGAGACCACCUAGGAAGACCAGGUGCUGAAGGUU
This 119-nucleotide ribosomal RNA is filed under the name Pteropus alecto (black flying fox). The record is from RNAcentral. Lineage: Eukaryota; Metazoa; Chordata; Mammalia; Chiroptera; Pteropodidae.